UGCAAUAGCAAAGGUCACCAAGAGGUUGUUGCAACUGGAUUGGAUAGUCAAAAUUCGUCAUGUUUACAAAAAGGGUAAUAAGGUAGUAGACACACUAGCGACUCUUACUUUUUCAUGACACUAGGGGGAUGUUUGGUUCGACGGAAUGGCCAUUCCAUUCCGUCCUAUUCCACACGCUACAGUGACACGUUUGUUUGGUUGAAAUUUGACUGCCGAAUCACUAUUUCGUGGGGGAUCUAUUACACGUAAACACCGAUAUCCAUUCAGAGGGUCGGACUCUGAAUGCCUAUUCAAUGCCUCUCGUAAUAGUUUUUUUUUUCAGACGAAAAUCUCCUCCCACUUCCACUCAUCAUUCAGACGAAAAUCUUCUUGGGUUUUCCGUAAAAUGCAUAGAAGACUAUCUAUUUUUGGAUUUUGGGUGUGGCGGAUUUGUGUGUGGUGGAAAAUAUGGAGAAAUCGAUGUCAAAGGCGGAGCUUUCCAAAGAAAUGCGCACGUCUCCCACCGUGCAGCCCAACGAUUGUGGGAACGGCGAGGCUCCGAUCAAUUAUCAGUGAUUGUUGUUAGUCUUCUUCCCUUCGCCAUCAUCUCUGGUUUUUUUUUUUAAUAAACAAAAUCUCUGAAAUAUUGGAUCUGAAUUUCUAUCCUGCCAGGCUUUCAGUGAGUUUACCUUUUCUACCUCUGCCUUAAAAUUCAUUUAUACUUUCCUAAGCUACAAACAAGAAGUUGAACUUUGAUGAUCAAGAUCUUUCUUUUUCCAGUAGUCUAUGUUUUGGCUUUGUUGAAUUGAAUAUCCAAAGUCAUGAUCUUUAAUCGAUAAUCUGUUGAAUUGCCUGUCUGGGUAUGCUUUGUUUACAUAAAUCUGUUGAAUACCCUUUGUAUUCUUCUAUUGAUUUGGGUUUUUUUUGGUAAGUUUAAUUUUUUAUUUUGGUUUUUGUUUGUUUGUUUUGGGUUUGAAGUUCAACAGUAUUUCGUGUUUGUAAUGAAAAAUAUGUAUAGAUAUCAUUGUAGGCUAUGUUUCGUUUUUGCUAGUGUUAAGGGAGUUUUUAGGGCUAACCAUUCACGGGUAUCACGGGAAGGGAGAUUAAAGGUGGUGUUGCUGAAAUCCAGAAGGACAGAAACACUCCUCUUGUGCCAAAGGUUUCUCAACUUCCCAAUGAAAAAGAGACAGUUUAUGGAGCAUUGGACAAAUGGGUAGCUUGGGAGAUUGAGUUUCCAUUGAUUGCAGCUUCAAAAGCUUUACAAAUUUUCAAGAAGAGAGCCAAUGGUUGCGUGUUAUUCAAGUAUAUUCAGUCUAUUGGUAUUCUUGCUUUGUAUUUUCCAGCUUCUAAAACACAUUCAUUGAUGCAAGGAAGCUUUAUAUGUUCAAUAAUUUUUCAUUAAUAUAUAUUAUAUUAAAAUAGCCCUGUAUUAUCAUAUUUGAUUCUAUAGAAUACUCUCCGUCAGUAUUUUAAAGGAACCUUAAUGCUAUUAUUUGUGAA
Molecule: long non-coding RNA, 1479 nt
Organism: Gossypium raimondii (Peruvian cotton)
Lineage: Eukaryota; Viridiplantae; Streptophyta; Magnoliopsida; Malvales; Malvaceae
Exons: 2
Source: RefSeq, a predicted model, not a curated record